RNAcentral lists this ribosomal RNA (497 nucleotides) under uncultured bacterium. RNAcentral's name for it is "partial 16S ribosomal RNA". It matches the Rfam family "Bacterial small subunit ribosomal RNA", at positions 28 to 507 of the family's 1533-position model. The record is from RNAcentral.
GAUGAACGCUGGCGGCGUGCCUAAUACAUGCAAGUCGAGCGAACAGAUGAGGAGCUUGCUCCUCUGACGUUAGCGGCGGACGGGUGAGUAACACGUGGAUAACCUACCUAUAAGACUGGGAUAACUACGGGAAACCGGAGCUAAUACCGGAUAAUAUAUUGAACCGCAUGGUUCAAUAGUGAAAGACGGUUUUGCUGUCACUUAUAGAUGGAUCCGCGCCGCAUUAGCUAGUUGGUAAGGUAACGGCUUACCAAGGCAACGAUGCGUAGCCGACCUGAGAGGGUGAUCGGCCACACUGGAACUGAGACACGGUCCAGACUCCUACGGGAGGCAGCAGUAGGGAAUCUUCCGCAAUGGGCGAAAGCCUGACGGAGCAACGCCGCGUGAGUGAUGAAGGUCUUCGGAUCGUAAAACUCUGUUAUUAGGGAAGAACAAAUGUGUAAGUAACUAUGCACGUCUUGACGGUACCAAAUCAGAAAGCCACGGCUAACUACGUG